CCUACGGGAGGCAGCAGUAGGGAAUAUUGCUCAAUGGGGGAAACCCUGAAGCAGCAACGCCGCGUGGAGGAUGAAGGUCUUCGGAUUGUAAACUCCUUUUGUUAGAGAAGAUAAUGACGGUAUCUAACGAAUAAGCAUCGGCUAACUACGUGCCAGCAGCCGCGGUAAUACGGAGGGUGCAAGCGUGACUCGGAAGCACUGGGCGUAAAGAGCGCGUAGGCGGGAUAGCAAGUCAGAUGUGAAAUCCUAUGGCUUAACCAUAGAACUGCAUUUGAAACUGGUAUUCUAGAGUAUGGGAGAGGUAGGUGGAAUUCUUGGUGUAGGGGUAAAAUCCGUAGAGAUCAAGAGGAAUACUCGUGGCGAAGGCGACCUGCUGGAACGUAACUGACGCUGAUGCGCGAAAGCGUGGGGAGCAAACAGGAUUAGAUACCCCUGUAGUC
This 440-nucleotide ribosomal RNA is filed under the name uncultured bacterium. Its description in RNAcentral is "partial 16S ribosomal RNA". It matches the Rfam family "Bacterial small subunit ribosomal RNA", at positions 338 to 795 of the family's 1533-position model. The record is from RNAcentral.